This 468-nucleotide ribosomal RNA is filed under the name uncultured bacterium. RNAcentral describes it as "partial 16S ribosomal RNA". It matches the Rfam family "Bacterial small subunit ribosomal RNA", at positions 28 to 507 of the family's 1533-position model. The record is from RNAcentral.
GACGAACGCUGGCGGCGUGCUUAACACAUGCAAGUCGAACGGAAAGGCCCUGCUUUUGUGGGGUGCUCGAGUGGCGAACGGGUGAGUAACACGUGAGUAACCUGCCCUUGACUUUGGGAUAACUUCAGGAAACUGGGGCUAAUACCGGAUAGGAGCUCCUGCUGCAUGGUGGGGGUUGGAAAGUUUCGGCGGUUGGGGAUGGACUCGCGGCUUAUCAGCUUGUUGGUGGGGUAGUGGCUUACCAAGUCUUUGACGGGUAGCCGGCCUGGGAGCUGGACCGGGGUCAUUGGGCCUGCGGGAGGGAGCAGAGGGGUAUGGUGGGCAGAAGGGGCGAGUAUUGUCCAGCCGGCGCGCGUCGGUGGCGGAGGCGUUGCGGUCGUAAUGACGUCCUGUUGGGAGAGAACCGCAGCCGGCUGAGACGAAGCGGUUGUGACGGUAAUGAGUGAAGAAGCACCGGCUAACUACGUG